CCGAGUUAGGGUCCUCUCAUGGCCCGACCUCCCAACCCCUUGUUUAAUUAUACCCAUUGUUGCUUCGGCGGGACGGUCUCCCCAGACCGCCGGAGGGUGCACACCGCCCCUCUGGAGAGUUUUGCCCGCCGACGGCCCCCUUCAAAAAUCUUGAACCCAACCGUGACGCCUAAAUUGAUUUAUUGUAUAAUGUACAAAAAACA
This 203-nucleotide unclassified non-coding RNA is filed under the name uncultured Exophiala. RNAcentral describes it as "sequence contains ITS1". The record is from RNAcentral. Lineage: Eukaryota; Fungi; Ascomycota; Eurotiomycetes; Chaetothyriales; Herpotrichiellaceae.